UACGUAGGGGGCUAGCGUUGUCCGGAAUCAUUGGGCGUAAAGAGCGUGUAGGCGGCCCGGUAAGUCCGCUGUGAAAGUCGGGGGCUCAACCCUCGAAUGCCGGUGGAUACUGUCGGGCUAGAGUGCGGAAGAGGCGAGUGGAAUUCCUGGUGUAGCGGUGAAAUGCGCAGAUAUCAGGAGGAACACCGAUUACGAAGGCAGCUCGCUGGGACGUAACUGACGCUGAGACGCGAAAGCGUGGGGAGCAAACAGG
Molecule: ribosomal RNA, 253 nt
Filed under: uncultured bacterium
Lineage: Bacteria
Description: partial 16S ribosomal RNA
Rfam family: Bacterial small subunit ribosomal RNA
Source: RNAcentral